GAUGGCAGUCACCACAGGAUCAGGAGUAAAAGUCUCUCGAAGUUUCCAACUGAUGGAAGAACUCGAAGAAGGCCAGAAAAAGGUAGGAGGUGGCAUAGUUAGCUGGUGUUUAGAAGAUGAUGAAGACCUGGGACAAGAUGGACAGGGAUGAUAAUUGGGCCUCCAAGAAUGAUUUACGAAAAUCAAGUAUACAGCCUUAAAAUAGAAUGUAUCCUAAAUGCCCAGAAGCACCCUGCCUUUGUAAGAUUUGUAACAAAAAUUAAUAUAAAUAGGGUUAAUAGUUGUAAUGGAGUGGUGGACCAAAAAGCCAUAUCAGUGCUAGCAAAAUGGCAGAAUUCAUGUAGCAUCAAAGUUGUCCUACAAGAGCUUUGGUGCCUAAUGAUGUCUAAAGAAAAUGUGACACUCCUUCAGCUGCCUGAAGGACAGGGUUACAGCAGUU
This 439-nucleotide long non-coding RNA is filed under the name Homo sapiens (human). RNAcentral's name for it is "non-protein coding lnc-PTPN14-6:1". Lineage: Eukaryota; Metazoa; Chordata; Mammalia; Primates; Hominidae. The record is from RNAcentral.